AAGGAUGGCAGCAGGCGCGCAAAUUACCCACUCUCAGAACGAGGAGGUAGUGACGAAAAAUAACGAGACCGUUCUCUAUGAGGCCGGUCAUCGGAAUGGGUACAAUCUAAACCCUUUAACGAGUAUCUAUGAGAGGGCAAGUCUGGUGCCAGCAGCCGCGGUAAUUCCAGCUCUCAAAAUGCAUAGAAUUAUUGCUGCGGUUAAAAAGCUCGUAGUUGGAUCUGUGCCAGGAGAGCGGUCCACUUUCGGGUGGUACUGCUACGACUGGCUUCUUGCUGGUUUUCUCGUCGUAGUCUUAACCGAUUGCGGCGGGUGGCUGGCGAUUUUACUUUGAACAAAUCAGAGUGCUUAACACAGGCGUUUCGCUUGAAUGUUCUUGCAUGGAAUAAUAGAAAAGGAUUUCGGUUCUAUUUUAUUGGUUUUAUAGACUGAGAUAAUGGUUAACAGAGACAAACGGGGGCAUUCGUAUUGCUGCGUGAGAGGUGAAAUUCUUGGACCGCAGCAAGACGAACUACAGCGAAAGCAUUUGCCAAGAAUGUCUUCAUUAAUCAAGAACGAAAGUCAGAGGUUCGAAGGCGAUCAGAUACCGCCCUAGUUCUGACCGUAAACGAUGCCAACUAGCGAUCCGCCGGUGGAUAUUUUGCCCUGGUGGGGAGCUUCCCGGAAACGAAAGUCUUCCGGUUCCGGGGGAAGUAUGGUUGCAAAGCUGAAACUUAAAGGAAUUGACGGAAGGGCACCACCAGGAGUGGAGCCUGCGGCUUAAUUUGACUCAACACGGGAAAACUCACCCGGCCCGGACACCGUAAGGAUUGACAGAUUGAUAGCUUUUUCAUGAUUCGGUGGAUGGUGGUGCAUGGCCGUUCUUAGUUCGUGGAGCGAUUUGUCUGGUUUAUUCCGAUAACGAGCGAGACUCUAGCCUACUAAAUAGUUCGCACAUUGCGCUUCGUGUUGCGCAACUUCUUAGAGGGAUUUUCGGUGUUCAGCCGCACGAGAUUGAGCAAUAACAGGUCUGUGAUGCCCUUAGAUGUCCGGGGCUGCACGCGCGCUACACUGGCGAAAUCAGCGUGCUUAUCCUUUCUCGAAAGGGAUUGGUAAACCGUUGAAAAUUUGCCGUGAUUGGGAUCGGAAAUUGCAAUUAUUUUCCGUGAACGAGGAAUUUCAAGUAAGUGCGAGUCAUCAACUCGCGUUGAUUACGUCCCUGCCCUUU
This 1207-nucleotide ribosomal RNA is filed under the name Coslenchus costatus. RNAcentral describes it as "SSU rRNA". It matches the Rfam family "Eukaryotic small subunit ribosomal RNA", at positions 418 to 1661 of the family's 1831-position model. The record is from RNAcentral. Lineage: Eukaryota; Metazoa; Nematoda; Chromadorea; Rhabditida; Tylenchidae.